UACGGGAGGCAGCGGUGGGGAAUAUUGCACAAUGGGCGAAAGCCUGAUGCAGCUAUGCCGCGUGUAUGAAGAAGGCCUUAGGGUUGUAAAGUACUUUCAUCGGGGAGGAAAAAACAAAACUAAUAAUUUUAUUCUUGACGUUACCCGAAAAAGAAGCACCGGCUAACUCCGUGCCAGCAGCCGCGGUAAUACGGAGGGUGCUAGCGUUAAUCAGAAUUACUGGGCGUAAAGAGCACGUAGGUGGUUUUUUUAAGUCAGAUGUGAAAUCCCUGGGCUUAACCUAGGAACUGCAUUUUGAAACUGAAAUACUAGAGUAUCGUAGAGGGAGGUAGAAUUCUAGGUGUAGCGGUGAAAUGCGUAGAUAUCUGGAGGAAUACCUGUGGCGAAAGCGGCCUCCUAAACGAAUACUGACACUGAGGGUGCGAAAGCGUGGGGAGCAAACAGGGAUUAGAUACC
RNAcentral lists this ribosomal RNA (456 nucleotides) under uncultured bacterium. RNAcentral describes it as "bacterial SSU rRNA". It matches the Rfam family "Bacterial small subunit ribosomal RNA", at positions 340 to 786 of the family's 1533-position model. The record is from RNAcentral.